Molecule: long non-coding RNA, 735 nt
Organism: Bos taurus (domestic cattle)
Lineage: Eukaryota; Metazoa; Chordata; Mammalia; Artiodactyla; Bovidae
Source: Ensembl
GAUUCCCUGGUAGCUCAGAGGUUAAAGCGUCUGCCUGGAAUGCGGGAGACCUGGGUUCUAUCCCUGGGUCGGGAAGAUCCACUAGAGAAGGAAAUGGCAACCCACUCCAGUACUACUGCCUGGAAAAUCCCAUGCAGAGAGGGAGAAACCUGGUAGGCUACAGUCCAUGGGGUCGCAAAGAGUCAUACACUACUGAGCGACUUCACUUACUUACUUAAAGGUCAGGAGACCGUUAGCCUGGUGGUUAAAGGUCUUCCUGCUCCACUGAUGAUUAGCCUAGCGGUGGUCCUCUUGGCAGAGUGCAGCAAGACGUGGCCCUGGGUCUUAUUCCGUGGCCCUCCAGGCCCUUUGGCCUCAGCACCAUUGGGUGAGCUGGGGGCCCAGGACAGGCUGAGGACCCAGAACAGGCUGAGGAUUGUGUCUCACAGAACUCUGGAGCCCCCGUGAAGGCCGGAGCCUCCCUUACCACCACCCACCGGCCAGGUCCAGACCUGGAAGCAGCCAGGAACCUCACCCCCUUCCACGCUCUGAUCCCUGGAGUCCUCAGCAGCUGGAGGAUAUUACAGGAUCAUUAAGGAGACAGGAUUCAAGACCAUCCCCAUGGAAAAGAAAUGCAAAAAAACAAAAUGGCUGUCUGGGGAGGCCUUACAAAUAGCUGUGAAAAGAAGAGAAGCGAAAAGCAAAGGAGAAAAGGAAGGAUAUAAGCAUCUGAGUGCAGAGUUCCAAAGAAUAGCA